This 87-nucleotide transfer RNA is filed under the name Labrenzia sp. THAF35. RNAcentral describes it as "tRNA-Pro". Lineage: Bacteria; Pseudomonadati; Pseudomonadota; Alphaproteobacteria; Hyphomicrobiales; Stappiaceae. The record is from RNAcentral.
UCUCGUUAGGACGGUUGUGCGCCCGCCUGGGGCGCGGGAAAGCUCUUCCAGCACAGACUCGAACGUGCCGACACGAUCAGCGAGACC